CUCAGAUCCUCGCCGCCACCCACCUCCACCGCCGCCCUCACUCUCCCCUCACCCCCUCGUCCUCGACCAACAUCGCCGCCUGCCCUUCCUACACCCCGGAGGCGGCCUACACCCUUGACCACGAGACGAGCGAUGUCCUCAUCCUUCUCGGCCGGUGGCGAGGAGAGACGGCCAAGGAGCUCGGCGACCUCGCGCUCUUCCUCGCCCUGCUCUACCGUCCGGCCUCCGGCUGCUCGUGGUCGACCUGCACAGCCUCCUCUCUCUCCAGUCCGUCGUCUGUUGCUCCCACACCAUGGAGCUCACCACCACCGGUGGUGAUCUGCUUCUUCCUGACCAUGGAGGUGUGCAUCUUCCAUUCAAGCUGCAGCUCACCGACGAAGGAGUCUUCCUCCUGAGCGCCCACACGGAGGAGUUGCAACAACCCUGGAUCUGUCCGUUGGCCCUGUUGAUUUUUGUUGAAGGUCGUCGGGCUUUUCAGUGAGGCGCUGGAAGAGCACUCCCCAUGCUUGUCUUGAGGAGAACACCACCUAGGACUUGGUGGCUGACAUUUGAGAAGGCAACAUGGUGACUCUAGUGCGGACAAGAUGCUCACUGAGGUGCCCAAGUACAAGCAGACCACGCCCUAGGCGAUCUGUUCUUCUUUCUUGCUUUUUACCCAUGAGAAUUAAUAUCUCGAGAUGGUGGGUUAAGUGUAUGGAUGGCCCCUGGUGAAGUUUUUUGCUGUGAUGCUCUGUUUUGGGGUUAGUCAGUAGUACUCUGUGAUGUUCCGGUUCUCCUAGCAUGGGGCAUAUAUUAUUGUGCUAUGAAUUGUUUGCAUGCCCUUUUGGAUGCCGGUUUCGGCUGCUGCAUCUGUGCUGAUAGUUUUUGUGCAGUGGGAUGUUCAGUUUGGUGCAUAAGCCUGGCAUCCUCAAAUUUUCAUUGGUGUUCUCUCGUGUUCUGUUUUAGUUUGUUGAAUGUAAUUUAACAUUAUAAAUUGUUGAAAGCUUUGUUCAAAUUUGACACUCCUUGAUAUCUCUAGCUUGAGAUAUCAUUGAAAAGCUUCCUUUUGCUUGAUAUAACCAUUGGUGUAUGUUCUUCUAAUACUCCAAUUGUUGAUCAAUAUCUUACUCCUGUAGUUGUCCUACCGUAGUACUCCUAUAGGAGUAGAUGUGUACUCCUGUUGUUUGUCCUACCUGUAGUGCAGAGAUGGAGUAGUUUGUCCUGUGUGUGUACUCCUGUAGUUUUUUGCAAUUAAAUUUUCACAAAUGGCCAAAGCUUUCCACUAUUCAUAUUUCCUAAAAAAGAAACAUAAGCUCUUGAAUUACUCAUAUUGUUCCAAUGUUCAUAUUUCAGUAAACCAUAUUAUUCCACUGUUUGUAUCAUGGAUCACACAUACUCCUAUUCAUGCUUUUUGAAAAUUGUUUUGAGUACCAUGGAGUACUAUCUGAUCAUGAGCUAACUUUUCAUGUCAACCAUUUUUUCACUGCAGCAAGUAUACUGAAACUAAAAUUGAGCUGAAAGUUUAAGUACCUCCAAAAUUGAGCUGCUGCUGGAAUCACCAAAUUAUGCAUGCAACCAUUUGUUCACUUCGGCUAGUGUACUGCUGCCGUUUUUGCUUUCAAGUACUGCUACUACUGUUAUUGCUUUCAGUACUAUUGCUGCUGUUGCUUCUCAGUAUGGCUACUGCUAUUGCUUCUCAAUAAUGCUGCUGCUGUUGCUUCUCACUACUGCGGAUGUUUCCCUGCUGUUGUUCAAAUCAAAAUUGUUGUUGUUGUUGCUUCUUAGUACUGCUGUUCUUUUCCUAUUGUUGUUCUAGUCAAAACUGCUGCUGCUUCCCUCCUGCUAUUUCAAAUUGCUUCUACUGUUGUUUAAGUCAAAACUUAGAGCCCCUGUAGCUUUGCUCAACCCCUAAAUUGUUGUUGUUAUUUUAAAUUGCUCAAUUAUUUGAAUUGCCACUGCUACUAUCUCAUUUUAACUAGCUGGAGGACAAAAAGCAUUGUACUAGCUAAAUUUGUGUCAUCAUUCUAAUCUAAAUAACUGUCAUUUUUUGAAUGGUCUCUUCUUGGUUUAUUGGUUCCAGUUUUUCUAAUUCUUCUCUGCUGAUUUUUUAACGCUAAUUCUUCUCUAUUGAUACAUGUAACAGGGCGACCGUGGAAGGCAUAUCACCAUUCUGUUAGCCCAGUCCUAACAGGAGCAGGUGCCUAGUUUACGAUCGCUAUCGAAAGAGCUCCAUGUUGAAGAAACAUAGCUCGCAAACGUAUCUUGUUAUUACACAUGUGGAGCUUGUAACCGUGAUUGCCAUCCUUUUAGAGCUUGUAGCUAGUUAUUACACUUGUAGAGAUUCUGGUAGAGCUUGUAUAUGUUGGAGCUUAAUUACGUGUAGAGCUUGUAGAUCUUGUAAAGUAUUGCAUAUGUUAUUUGUACAACAGGAGCUCUGUACUGAAUCUGGAGUAUUACGUGUGUUUUUUGUUUGUGCCAAUUUAAAUACUGGUUAUUUAUUUACUGUUAAA
RNAcentral lists this ribosomal RNA (2489 nucleotides) under Triticum aestivum (bread wheat). RNAcentral's name for it is "partial small subunit ribosomal RNA". Lineage: Eukaryota; Viridiplantae; Streptophyta; Magnoliopsida; Poales; Poaceae. The record is from RNAcentral.